CCUACGGGAGGCUGCAGUGAGGAAUAUUGGUCAAUGGACGAGAGUCUGAACCAGCCAAGUAGCGUGAAGGAUGACUGCCCUAUGGGUUGUAAACUUCUUUUAUAAAGGAAUAAAACGAGGCACGUGUGCCUUUUUGCAUGUACUUUAUGAAUAAGGAUCGGCUAACUCCGUGCCAGCAGCCGCGGUAAUACGGAGGAUCCGAGCGUUAUCCGGAUUUAUUGGGUUUAAAGGGAGCGUAGAUGGGUUGUUAAGUCAGUUGUGAAAGUUUGCGGCUCAACCGUAAAAUUGCAAUUGAUACUGGCAGUCUUGAGUACAGUUGAGGUAGGCGGAAUUCGUGGUGUAGCGGUGAAAUGCUUAGAUAUCACGAAGAACCCCGAUUGCGAAGGCAGCUUACCAAACUGUGACUGACAUUGAUGCUCGAAAGUGUGGGUAUCAAACAGGAUUAGAUACCCGAGUAGUC
Molecule: ribosomal RNA, 460 nt
Filed under: uncultured bacterium
Lineage: Bacteria
Description: partial 16S ribosomal RNA
Rfam family: Bacterial small subunit ribosomal RNA
Source: RNAcentral